Molecule: long non-coding RNA, 2414 nt
Organism: Myotis davidii
Lineage: Eukaryota; Metazoa; Chordata; Mammalia; Chiroptera; Vespertilionidae
Exons: 3
Source: RefSeq, a predicted model, not a curated record
ACUGGGUGUUACUCUGUUGGGCUGUUUGUUGGGGUCUGUGGCUCAUGAUGUUGGACAUGUGGCAGUUUUAUGCCUGUGUGAGAAAUAUAGCUAUCCUAUAGCUUGAUGAUUACGCUUUUAUUUAUUAUUCUUAAAGAAGUAUGCCAACUUUCCUUCCACAGUUUAGAUAACAGGGGGAAAAGUUAUGGAGAAAAUUGACAGCAAUGUGAGUUUAAAUAGAACGUGGCAGCCGGGCCAGAGAAUGAAGCAGGGAGUAGCACCAUGGACAGAGCCUAGCAGAUCCUGAACAGAGGAUGGCGAAGUCUGAUAGUCUUUUCGGCCCCUCCCUGGAGACGAGGAAACUGGAAUUCUUGGGAAAGAUUCAUUCCACAGACUUUAAGGACAAAGCUGUCCUACUCAGCGGACCCACGUUUGUUUUGAAUUGAGCUGGCUUUUGCUAGGACCCGGCCAUCGUGACAAACCGCCAGGAGGGUGAGAGCCGGGAACUCGCUGCACACCCUCCGCGGUCCCCUGGCCAUACACCCCUUUGCCCCGCUGAGCCUGCCGGUCAUCACAGUGGUCAGGCAAAAUAAACGCAAAUCCAGGUAGUCCUCCACAAGUCUGCUGAAGUCCUCGAAAUUCCCAGCGAGCAUCGCAACAAAAAACGCCUCCUCUCCCACCCUUGCUCCCCUCCCCCCACUCUUCCUCUCCCGGCUCCCGCCGCCUCCUGGCCGAGGGGCCCAGCCUUUCAUCCGAAGUAACUUUUAGCCGGAUAAACUCGCGUCUUCCCAGAGCUUCAAAGGGCGGUGCUGGCGACCAGAUCAAACCCUUGCCCCGCAGAGCAAGUGUCCGCACGGGGGGCACGGGGACAAAGGCGGAGUCUGGACCAGAGAAGACUGAGGCCCGGGGAGACACCGCGGCGAGAGAAACAGCUGUCUUAUCAGCCCGCUGCAGAGACGGAGAUGGCUGGAGAGGUCCUCAACAGAUAAUCACUUGAAUAGGUUUGCAAUGCGCCAAACUUCACGCUUGAUAAGGCCAACCCAAUGUAGAGAGCAGCCCGGAUCCUGCUCCAUUCUGUUUUAUCUGGGCUGUAAAUUAAGAAAUUGAAAUUCAGGUGGCAGAGGCGGCAGUCUGCUCACAGACCGCUAAAGUAAACUGUCAUGAAAAUGCUUUGGGCAGGCAGAGAGGGGGCCCCUGGAAAGGGAUACUUUUUUUUUUUUAAAUGGGGGCGUGGAGCAGUGAGAGAAAAAGCCCACCGGUUUUAAAAAUUACCUGGGGAGGGGAAGCUGUAAGGAGGAGGAGCAAAGGGACAUAUCACUUUGGUCAUGAUUCCAAGUCAUAGCUGUGAUGCAUAAAAAAAAAUUGAAAAGGAUAAAGUUGUUUGAAGUUUGGGGUAAUAGAGAUUAAGGAACAGUUUGAACCAAUUUGCUAGAAAACAGAAUCCUGUCUUUUUCAGAGCAUGGGCCACAAGGAAGCAUUAGAAACAGAUUCCGAAUGGACUCUCAAGUUUUCCUUUUGUUGUAAGAAAGUCAGACCAACCAGAUACAGAAGAGUUACCAGCAGCUAGAGGUUAACUUGACCUUGUUUGUUGAAGUGCUAGAGCCACCUGAGAGACUUCAGGGUGAUUUUGGAAUAACCUGAGAAGUUGUUAGCCACAGAAAAGGAUCUGCUUAGCUACUUAGGGGAAUAAGUCCUGUAUCACCCCCGCCCCCUGUACCCAGGUGAUUACUAUGGGCUAAGUCAGGAAACAACAAAUUCCAGGUGUGUAUUUGCCACCACCUGCUUGUUGCAGCACACUUUUUAUUACACUCUGGUCUGCUGUUAUGAACAUGAGGCAUGGAAUCCUAUGCAUUAUUUGAAUAAAUGUUUCAUAAAAAGUUUUAAAUGCACAAUGAUCAGAACAGAGCCAGUGACCUUGAUUCACUAAGGACCUGGUACUGUACCUUGCUCUUUGGGUAGCUGAGCAGAUUGUCAAUUCACUGGUGUACGAUUUUGAGAGUGCAUAAGCAUGAGAGGAUGCAUCCCAUUUUUCCACAACAGCAUUUAUAUUUUAAGUUUCAGCAGCAUUUCUAAAAAGGUACCUUCGGAUGAUAACACAUAGUUAAUGCAGCUUUAGAAAAUCAAUCAGUUUUUACUUUGUUUAACCCCAAAACUUUGAUCGAUGUCAGAGUGCACUUAAUUGACAAUAUAAAGGCUGCUCAAAUCACAGUGGGAUGAGGAAGAAUUAGAAAUGAGUUUGCCAGGAAAUGUGAUGAGGAAAAAUUUAAGAUGCUGGUCUACGUUUCAGUAGUUAUUAAACCAUAGAGAUCUAUUAAAAAACAAGUCCUUUACAAUUUGAAGUUGUCAUCUGAUUAUUCAUAGGCAGGUAAACAAAUAUAAGUCAUGACAUCUCAAACACACUUAUGUUGAAUACUUUAUACAAAAGUAUAAAGUAU